CGUUCAUAAAUAUUUUAUUUUCUAAAAGUUUUUAACAGAAUAUUCAAUAAUUUAUUCUUUAAAAAUAUAUUUAUCGAUAUAUGCAAAUUUUUUUUUCCUGUUUUUUCUUCUUUUUUUUCGUCGAUUUGGUUCGUUAUGCUGGCGGAAUAAUGGAGUGUAGCCGUAUAACUCGUAAAGUAACUGGAAAAUAAGUAAACAAAUAAAAUAUCCGAAAUGAUAAAUUGCAAAUAUGACGAAUGGCAAGCAGUAAAAAAACAAAAAAAAAAUUGUUGGCGAAAAAAUCUGGAAUUUUUAGAUACCAGCGAAGUAAACAGUUGCGGAGUAAACCAAAGUUUAAUGAAGGUAACGAAAGAAUUUUUUGAUUUUCGGGCGUCAGAAUAAAAUUACGAAAUGUCGACAACUUUAUUACGAGCAUUGUAAAUGCUUUUACGUCAGUGAUCUAGGAAAUUAGCCGUUGACGAGAGAGAGAGAGAGAACAUGAGAAAGAAAAAAAAAUGGAAGAAAGCGUCGUGGACAUCAGCACCUUUCUCUUCUAUGUACCAAGUCGUUUAGUGAGUCAGUAGUGCAAGUCCACAUUGAAAUGGGGGUGAGUAGAAUGUCGGAGUGAGCGGGACCAAAUCAAAUGACCGGGAAGUAAUGAUUUCUUGGUAGGGAAUCAAAUCACUUCCCUCACCCGAGAAAAUUCUUCCCUGAUAAGGAAAUGAACCUGUCUUUAGUAACGUGUGUCACAAACCUUUUUCCUGUUGUAAGAUAGCACUUGUUUUCAAAUUUAUUCAUAUUUUUCUUUUUUUUAUCAUCCUCCUCUCGAUCGACGACAUUUUAAUUUUUUUUCCCCAUCCCCGUUUUCCACUGCAUAUUAAAAUAAUAAUAAAAAAGAUUUCGUACAGAUUUUCGUGUUUACCUUCACAAUAAGCAUGUAACGGAGAAGAAGAGAGGGGAAAAUAAAGAAAAUACUAUGGAUCUCAUACUUAUUAAAGCUGCGCAAGUUAUUCAAUAGUCGAUAAUAAUGUAAAUAUACAGAAAAGUGCUGUUAUUAACGCUGAUAACGUACUCGUAUAGAAGGUUAUAACUCAAUUAUAACCUUCAAUCAUUAGACUGUAAACUGAUGCUGUACAAAUAACGUUUUUUAAGAGUUUAAAACCGGCAAAAAUUCCUAAAUUUGUGCUAAAAUUCCGAUGUCUGAAAGGUGAAGUCCGAUGCAAAGAUUACAGUUUGUAUGGAUAAGUUAUUAUUAACCGGAAUCAUAAAUUAUGCCACGCUUUAUAUAAACUUCUUUAAUUAAAGCAAUGUGCAAAUGUUUCAUCGAAAUUUCGGCAUUUAUUAUGCGAUAAAGCAGAAUUUUCCAGCAAAUAAUGCAACCUUUUUCAUAGUAAGUAAAAAAAAAAUAAUCCAGUAUUACGUUAUCUAUCUGUGUUAUAAUGUUUUGCAUAAGGUUGUACUAGUUUUGCGUAAGUAACUGAGAAAUAAAUAUUAAAUUAUUGUUGCUAACAAGUCAUAAAUGGUACUACGCUGUAGAUCUGUGGUGUAAGAUAUCACCAUUGAUAGAAAGGCUACACAUGCAGAGUCUGCUAGAAGUGAAGUAGAGUCCCACUCCACUUCGAAAGCUAUAAAAAUGUGGGAAUAAAAUUAUAUUUUGGUGCCUUUCUGGGUUGCGGAAUGCCGAAUGUCUUCGUGGUCCCUCUCUGUCUGGGUCUGUUAUCGCCAAUAUGUAAACAUAUAGAAAAUCUGGUGAUAAUAAAGUUUUGUGGUUUUUAAUGAUUAAGUUUCGGUUUUAACUGCACGCCUAUGCUGAAUAAGUUAUAGCAGACACAUUAUUGCAUAAAAUAGGCCUAUAAAUAAUAUUUUGUAUAAAUAUUCAUUGCAUGUACAACUCAGUGCAAAUGCUACAUUUUAAUGUUAAUUGUAGAAAAAUGUUUAGAGUUUUCUGAGAAAAACUUAUCCGAAAAUAACAGAAAAUAGUUUAUUAUACGUUACAUACCAGUAAGAGGAUAUUUAUUCUUAUUCUUUACCAUAAAAUAUUUAAAAAAAAAAAAAAAAAGACGAUAGUGCUGUAAAAAAUGAUCUUACUGAAGUAUCGCUGGUUUCUAAAACUAUCCGUUCUCUAGAACGAAAGAAGUCUGAUAUUCUACAGAAGUUGAUAAAGUAGAAUAUCCAAGCACAACAGACAUCCGUCAUAAUAUAUCGUACACAGACUGGCUUCAGCCAACAACCUUGAGAUCAUUUUAAAAAGUCCAAAAUAGCAGGUUAUGACUUGGAUGAAGUCGUUUGUGCCAUCCGUAACCGAACCUACGCAAGGCUGAAGGAAAUUCUAGCGUAAGCGUAUAAGGGAUGACCCCGAAAGGAAGUUAAUGAUUACUUCAAAUUACUCCUACGUUUCAAAAGACUGGAUUCUUGUCUCCUCCUGAUUUGGAUACAUGGCAUGAACGAAAGUGAUGCACAACUAAAAAAUUCAAGAAACGUAUUCGCUACCGAAUCUAAUAAAGAACAGGAACUGAUUCGCCUGUUUGUUUUGUCCAUUAUUUUGGAAUGGUUGCAGAUAUCAUCUUCAAUUAACGUAACUUUCAUACUGUAUUUCAUAAAAAUCUAUCAGUUAGUUGUUAAUGAAAGACAUAGCAUACUUAUAAGACUCG
Molecule: long non-coding RNA, 2630 nt
Filed under: Androctonus crassicauda
Lineage: Eukaryota; Metazoa; Arthropoda; Arachnida; Scorpiones; Buthidae
Source: RNAcentral